CCUCCAUGCUGCCUCUGUCUUCAAUGCGAACUAAGCGGGUGUCAGGAGUGACAAGCGUGGACAAGGAAAGAAGACGAGGAAGAAAGAGCGGAGCGAGCGCGUGGAGCCGCCAUCUUGGAGAAGGGGCGCGCGCAGAGAAGGACGUGGUGACCGGGCGCAGCGUUCCAAGAGAAGACGGCCGGAGAUCGCCUGUCUGGGUCCUGCCCCAGAUCUUAGGCGGCACAUCGACGUCCCGCCUGAGUACCAGGCUCGGCGAGCAGAUGUCCGACGUCCCUGGAACCACCGCUGCCCCUAUGAAAAUGGUUCAUCAGUUGCCUGGGCUCCUGCUCGUCCUUGGUUCCUGCGUCAUAAGCGGCCACCGUGGGUUAAUUUCCACGCGCACUUGCACUCAUUGCGAGUGCAUCCAAGCAUUUGCGUCCUGUACUGCCCGCUCCGUCUGCGUCGAUUUUACGUGACGAUCAACGAGGACCAUAUAGGGACGCACACAACGGCAGUGACUCAAUUUGGCAGCAGCAGGUGCGGAGGCAUGUCUCCCUUCUAAGAUAAUUCUUCUCGUCAACAGCGGUCAUCUUUAGAAGUCAACACAGGAGGUCGAAUACAACGGCGUUAUUUCUUCCGCAAGGUCACAGGGGCAGCCUCACGAGAAACGACCGUGGAUUCGUGCUAGGGUCGUAGCGCGUUGCUGAAUUUUGUAACAGAUCGGAGGGCAGCAGCUGGACCACGAACGGCUCGA
Molecule: non-coding RNA, 733 nt
Organism: Dermacentor albipictus
Lineage: Eukaryota; Metazoa; Arthropoda; Arachnida; Ixodida; Ixodidae
Source: RefSeq, a predicted model, not a curated record